Molecule: long non-coding RNA, 1048 nt
Filed under: Vulpes vulpes (red fox)
Lineage: Eukaryota; Metazoa; Chordata; Mammalia; Carnivora; Canidae
Description: lncRNA (ENSVVUG00000000443.1)
Source: RNAcentral
GGGGUAAUGAGAGAAGGAGGCAUGUUUUGGAGGUUUGUACUGACAGCAUGUCAUGAUGACAAUGUCCAGAGUGGAACCACAGAAGUCUUGGCUACAGUGGAAUGGGAAUGGCAAUGGGAAAAAAGAUCAUUAGAAGUAAAGAGGGUGAGGAACUGAGGUUAUGGAGCUUUGGUUGGGUCACCCACCAUAGAUGCUUAAGUCAUAGCAGUUAGUAACAGGAAUAGGGUCGAAGGGAGAGGCUAUGAGCCAAGAGUCCAGGUCCCCAGUGAAGAAGGAAAUUUGAGUAAGAUGUCAGUGAUGACUGAAAAAGUUGUACUGGAGUUACAGUCUUGUAUGGACUUGUAGCACAGGCUACAAUGGUUGCAUGAGCUACAGGAAUGCUGGGCAUUUUUUAAUAAGGUGGGAAUUAAAUGGAGGCUGAAAUGUCAGAAGGUGCAGUUUCCAGUGUCCAUGGGAGAGCAAAUAGGAAAAGGAGAGAAAAGUUUUAAGGAUGAUAUUAAAAAGGACAAUUUCCAACCUAAGACUUUUGUCACAACUGAGUGCAGAGUGACAAGCCAUAUAUGACCUUGGCCAGCAGCCCCUGGGGCCUUAGGAAAUACCUGGUAGGAAGAAGAGACAAAACAUUAAAUAAAAUACAGUUGGGUGGUUCCAGAGAUGAAGCUGACUUGAGAAAGCAGAAACAGAGACUAGGAAGGGUUUUUAAAGUGGUUGAUAUGAGCAUAAUUCUCAAUUGGCACAGUAAGGCCAAUAACUAAUGAACAAUACGAUCUCCCCGCUGAAUAUUAGACAUGGUGUUAAGAAGAGCAGUAAAGGGAGCUGGUCUGGGAACUAUCCAUCUCUGAUCUUCACAGGAAAGAGCUUCCUAUAUAAGCAGUGACUCUCCUUGGGGGUACAAACACACACCCAACACACAACAAUACAAAAUGCAAACACUUUUAUUAAGAAGUUUUCAAUAGGCGAGGACCUAACAGAUGAGGUAGCAGAACCAGGACAGCUCCCUGCAUAAGCACAAAGAACAGGGCACAUAGAGCUCAGAAAGCCAUUUGAG